Molecule: ribosomal RNA, 253 nt
Filed under: uncultured bacterium
Lineage: Bacteria
Description: partial 16S ribosomal RNA
Rfam family: Bacterial small subunit ribosomal RNA
Source: RNAcentral
UACAGAGGUCCCAAGCGUUGUUCGGAUUCACUGGGCGUAAAGGGUGCGUAGGUGGCGUGGUAAGUUUGAUGUGAAAGCUCAGGGCUUAACCCUGAAAUGGCAUUGAAUACUACUGUGCUGGAGGUUUGGAGGGGGGACUGGAAUUCUUGGUGUAGCAGUGAAAUGCGUAGAUAUCAAGAGGAACACCAGUGGCGAAGGCGAGUCCCUGGACAACACCUGACACUGAGGCACGAAAGCUAGGGGAGCAAACGGG